AGUAAGUCCUUGUAUCUCUCUCAUGCAUCGUAGAGGGUUUCUAAAUCCAUCUGCACAAAAGAAGAGAUAUCAUUACCUAAUUU
Molecule: small nucleolar RNA, 83 nt
Filed under: Gossypium arboreum
Lineage: Eukaryota; Viridiplantae; Streptophyta; Magnoliopsida; Malvales; Malvaceae
Description: Plant small nucleolar RNA R71
Rfam family: Plant small nucleolar RNA R71
About the family: R71 is a member of the C/D box family of snoRNAs containing the C (UGAUGA) and D (CUGA) box motifs. Multiple nearly identical copies of this snoRNA have been identified in Arabidopsis, and it is thought to function as a 2'-O-ribose methylation guide for 18S ribosomal RNA.
Source: Rfam by way of RNAcentral